Molecule: small RNA, 89 nt
Filed under: Chryseobacterium formosense
Lineage: Bacteria; Pseudomonadati; Bacteroidota; Flavobacteriia; Flavobacteriales; Weeksellaceae
Description: Flavo-1 RNA
Rfam family: Flavo-1 RNA
Source: RNAcentral
CAUUAGCCCCGAUUGCAACGACAUCCUUUUUUGCAUUGGCUUGAAAAAAAGCGUUGGCAAAAAAGAUAUAGUGGAAAGCGGGAAAUUGC